GAAGGAGUUCGAUCAAUAUCUGUCAUCAAAAGGGUGAAAUCACGAACUAGCAUUCGUGAGGAGCUGAUCAGACGGGAGCUUCGUGUGGACGAUCCGUAGAGGCCAGAUAUUUGUGUGGCUGUGACGUGACGAUCAGAGCCCUCCGACGGUGAUCAGAUUGCGGUGAUCGACUACCCGCAAAAGGUGAUGUGUUCUGAACACAGUACUGUAAAA
This 213-nucleotide long non-coding RNA is filed under the name Elaeis guineensis (African oil palm). RNAcentral's name for it is "long non-coding RNA (EGUI_LNC082716)". The record is from RNAcentral. Lineage: Eukaryota; Viridiplantae; Streptophyta; Magnoliopsida; Arecales; Arecaceae.